RNAcentral lists this ribosomal RNA (492 nucleotides) under uncultured bacterium. RNAcentral's name for it is "partial 16S ribosomal RNA". It matches the Rfam family "Bacterial small subunit ribosomal RNA", at positions 29 to 507 of the family's 1533-position model. The record is from RNAcentral.
AGUGAACGCUGGCGGUAGGCCUAACACAUGCAAGUCGAACGGCAGCUCAGUAAGAGCUUGCUCUUACGGGUGGCGAGUGGCGGACGGGUGAGGAAUACAUCGGAAUCUACUUUUUCGUGGGGGAUAACGUAGGGAAACUUACGCUAAUACCGCAUACGACCUACGGGUGAAAGCAGGGGAUCUUCGGACCUUGCGCGAUUGAAUGAGCCGAUGUCGGAUUAGCUAGUUGGCGGGGUAAAGGCCCACCAAGGCGACGAUCCGUAGCUGGUCUGAGAGGAUGAUCAGCCACACUGGAACUGAGACACGGUCCAGACUCCUACGGGAGGCAGCAGUGGGGAAUAUUGGACAAUGGGCGCAAGCCUGAUCCAGCCAUACCGCGUGGGUGAAGAAGGCCUUCGGGUUGUAAAGCCCUUUUGUUGGGAAAGGAAAGCAGCAGGUUAAUACCCCGCUGUUCUGACGGUACCCAAAGAAUAAGCACCGGCUAACUUCGUG